Molecule: ribosomal RNA, 465 nt
Filed under: Vreelandella stevensii
Lineage: Bacteria; Pseudomonadati; Pseudomonadota; Gammaproteobacteria; Oceanospirillales; Halomonadaceae
Description: partial 16S ribosomal RNA
Rfam family: Bacterial small subunit ribosomal RNA
Source: RNAcentral
CCUACGGGUGGCUGCAGUGUGGAAUAUUGGACAAUGGGCGAAAGCCUGAUCCAGCCAUGCCGCGUGUGUGAAGAAGGCCUUCGGGUUGUAAAGCACUUUCAGUGGGGAAGAAAGCCUUGGGGCUAAUACCCUCGAGGAAGGACAUCACCCACAGAAGAAGCACCGGCUAACUCCGUGCCAGCAGCCGCGGUAAUACGGAGGGUGCGAGCGUUAAUCGGAAUUACUGGGCGUAAAGCGCGCGUAGGCGGUCUGAUAAGCCGGUUGUGAAAGCCCCGGGCUCAACCUGGGAACGGCAUCCGGAACUGUCAGGCUAGAGUGCAGGAGAGGAAGGUAGAAUUCCCGGUGUAGCGGUGAAAUGCGUAGAGAUCGGGAGGAAUACCAGUGGCGAAGGCGGCCUUCUGGACUGACACUGACGCUGAGGUGCGAAAGCGUGGGUAGCAAACAGGAUUAGAUACCCGUGUAGUC